RNAcentral lists this ribosomal RNA (253 nucleotides) under uncultured bacterium. Its description in RNAcentral is "partial 16S ribosomal RNA". It matches the Rfam family "Bacterial small subunit ribosomal RNA", at positions 524 to 776 of the family's 1533-position model. The record is from RNAcentral.
UACAGAGGGGGCAAGCGUUGUUCGGAAUUACUGGGCGUAAAGGGCGCGUAGGCGGCCGGCUAAGUCGAACGUGAAAUCCCCGGGCUCAACCCGGGAACUGCGUCCGAUACUGGCAGGCUUGAAUCCGGGAGAGGGAUGCGGAAUUCCAGGUGUAGCGGUGAAAUGCGUAGAUAUCUGGAGGAACACCGGUGGCGAAGGCGGCAUCCUGGACCAACAUUGACGCUGAGGAGCGAAAGCCAGGGGAGCAAACGGG